RNAcentral lists this ribosomal RNA (489 nucleotides) under uncultured bacterium. Its description in RNAcentral is "bacterial SSU rRNA". It matches the Rfam family "Bacterial small subunit ribosomal RNA", at positions 21 to 507 of the family's 1533-position model. The record is from RNAcentral.
GGCUCAGAUUGAACGCUGGCGGCAUGCCUUACACAUGCAAGUCGAACGGCAGCACGGGGCAACCUGGUGGCGAGUGGCGAACGGGUGAGUAAUGCAUCGGAACGUGCCAUUGAGUGGGGGAUAACGUAGCGAAAGUUGCGCUAAUACCGCAUAUUCUGUGAGCAGGAAAGCAGGGGACCGCAAGGCCUUGCGCUCUUUGAGCGGCCGAUGUCAGAUUAGCUAGUUGGUGAGGUAACGGCUUACCAAGGCGACGAUCUGUAGCGGGUCUGAGAGGAUGAUCCGCCACACUGGAACUGAGACACGGUCCAGACUCCUACGGGAGGCAGCAGUGGGGAAUUUUGGACAAUGGGCGCAAGCCUGAUCCAGCCACGCCGCGUGAGUGAAGAAGGCCUUCGGGUUGUAAAGCUCUUUCGGCCGGGAAGAAAUCGCAUGGGUUAAUACCCUGUGUGGAUGACGGUACCGGAAUAAGAAGCACCGGCUAACUACGUG